AACUAACGCAUUUUUUGUGACAGUUUCUGUACUUUAUUGGUAUGAGAAACUUCCAGAACAUUCAUUGUUCUAGGUAAAUUUUGAAACAAAAGCCUUCGGGC
This 101-nucleotide unclassified non-coding RNA is filed under the name Trypanosomatidae sp. 127AL-B. Its description in RNAcentral is "trans-spliced leader sequence". The record is from RNAcentral. Lineage: Eukaryota; Euglenozoa; Kinetoplastea; Trypanosomatida; Trypanosomatidae.